AAAAACUAGUGAAAACUUCAUGUAUAUAAAAUAUUUCAGAAAUAAAUCUGCUAACAUUCUUCACUUUCAGGUUGCAUGUGUGAAUCCAACAUGUUCCUUCUUCAUAAAUAGUCAAGCGUUCCUUCAGUGGUGUUUGUGUGGUCUGUCUUCGUGCUGGUCACCAGCCUCAGUAUGUCUGGUAGACGUCGGGGAUGGGGACCUGAAUGGCAGCAGCAGGGAAGGCCUGAGGUAUGUAGCCUGCGUAUCCUCCAUACACGGCGGCCGCGGCUGCCGCGUUCUUCUGUAGUGUGGCGAUCGUGGCUGUAGCUGGAGCAGCAAAUGGCACGUAACUGGCCCCGUAGAUCCCGGCAGUAGGAAUUCUCUGAACGUUUGGAGCCACCGUGUAUACUGGAGUUAUUGGGCGGCCCUGAGGAGAAGAGACAAAAAGGAGCCUUCCUGAACACGUCCACGGUUGGUUGAAUCCAGAUGUAGAAACUGCGGAUAAGGAGGACCUUCUCUGUACUGUAUUCCGGAAUCUUCUACUUACCAUUUCACUCAAUCAGUCUAUGCCCCAGAGUGAGCUAGAGAAGGCAGCGGAGAAUCUACCAUCCACACAAUUGAUUUCACAGUAAUUAAAAAUCAGUAUUUUUCCUUAAACAUGGCCUCUAGAUACAUGCCAGCUG
This 662-nucleotide long non-coding RNA is filed under the name Pan troglodytes (chimpanzee). Its description in RNAcentral is "long non-coding RNA NONPTRT012498". Lineage: Eukaryota; Metazoa; Chordata; Mammalia; Primates; Hominidae. The record is from RNAcentral.